UUGUGGAGACUAUGGAGGAGC
This 21-nucleotide non-coding RNA is filed under the name Rattus norvegicus (Norway rat). Lineage: Eukaryota; Metazoa; Chordata; Mammalia; Rodentia; Muridae. The record is from RNAcentral.